UGCGUAGGUGGUUUCUUAAGUCAGAGGUGAAAGGCUACGGCUCAACCGUAGUAAGCCUUUGAAACUGGGGAACUUGAGUGCAGGAGAGGAGAGUGGAAUUCCUAGUGUAGCGGUGAAAUGCGUAGAUAUUAGGAGGAACACCAGUUGCGAAGGCGGCUCUCUAGACUGUAACUGACACUGAGGCACGAAAGCGUGGGGAGCAAACA
This 206-nucleotide ribosomal RNA is filed under the name uncultured Romboutsia sp. Its description in RNAcentral is "partial 16S ribosomal RNA". It matches the Rfam family "Bacterial small subunit ribosomal RNA", at positions 568 to 774 of the family's 1533-position model. Lineage: Bacteria; Bacillati; Bacillota; Clostridia; Peptostreptococcales; Peptostreptococcaceae. The record is from RNAcentral.